CCAGAGUGUACCCAUGUGUACAUGGAAUGGUUGUUAGCCUGGAUAUUUUUUAAAACAUUUACAAAGGUUACUAUAGAGGUCUAUGGGAAAACAUUUGGUGUGUAACCUCAAUGGCUCUGGGAAUGUGGUGUAACAAAGGGAAAUAACUCUGGUUGACAGGUGUUGAAAGAGUUAAAUAUGUAUUAAAAUUCUGUUCCUGAGAACAAUUUUCAGUAUAUAUUUAUAAACAGAGCAAUUUAUACUAGAAAAGAGUUGGUGCAAAUGAAGAUAAUUGAAACAAAUAUUUACUCUUUUUGUCAAUCUGAACCAGAAAGCCUCCAUGUAUUCACAAAAUGUAAUCUUGUACAGGAAUUUUGGAGAAAAGUUCAAAACUUUAUUAAUCCUACACAUUGUAAUGUUCCUAUUUCUGAUCAAGACAUUCUCUUUUGCAACAGUUCAGCUAGUCUACUAGCAACACACAUUAUCCUGUUGGCCCAAAAAUAUGUUUUUUCUUCAAGUAUAAAACAGAAUGAAAUAUCCAGUGAUUGUUUUGCUAAUAUCGUCAAGGAUGUGUAGAAAGAAUUAUUGCUUGUAAGAACAAUGUUUUGCCUUAAUUUCAUUCCAAAUGGAAACCUAUGAACAAUGUAUCAUAGAUAUAUAUAAUUAUACACCUCACAUGUCCAUCAUUUUAUGAGCGCUUCAUUGUAUAUGCUCUGAAAAACAAUGAUAAAUGAAAUCAAACUGUACACCUGCUGAACUGAAAUGAAUAAAAAAAUUGAAAAAAGAACCCCCAUACUGUGCAAAAUUGUGCAUGGAUGUAAAUAGGGUUGCUUAAUAACCAGUUUCUCGAGAACAAUUUAGUUUGUAGCAUAGAUUAACUGGGGUUUACUUGCUGUAUUUUUGUAUGUUCUGGUUCAGAUACCUCUUGCUUCCAACUUCAUGAAUGUAUAUCUUCCAUUUCAGUUCUAUACUACAUAUACUUUUGAAGUGUAAAUGUCAUUCAUAAGAAUAAUUUUUGCAUUAAUAAAAAAAUUCACAACAUGAUUUUCAUUCUAAAUUUGGUUAAUGGAGUAGUUUUGUGUAAACUUUACACAGUUGUUUUUGUAACAAGGUAUGAACUAACGGUACUCUACUCUUUCAACAGUUGACACCUCCCCAAGUCAUCCUGACGAAUAGAUGACGAUGAAAGCAAUCUGACAAGGUGUCAGUGGACGAGGCCAUGGUUCCUUUCAAGGGCAGGCUCGGCAUCAAACAGUAUAUGAAGGACAAGCCUACAAAGUUCGGAGUGAAAGUCUGGGUAUUGGCGGAAUCUGUCACUGGGUAUUGUUGGAAUUUUGAUGUUUAUGCCGGUAAGUAUGGUACCAAAAUUGACAGCAAGUUAGGCCUUGCUGGACAGAUAGUGAUCAAAUUGUGUGAAAACAUAAUUGUCACAAAUAGCCCUUUAGCCACAAUCACCAAGAGUGGAUCGCCCACACACACCAUCUGAUAAUAGGUUGAUGCAUGUGCUGCAUGGGGAAUACAUGUGCUGUUGUGUAUUUAAGAGAGUGAUUGGAGAGGAGUGUUAAACAGAUGAUAUAUUUGCUUGAAGUGGAUGCAUGGGCUAUUAUGAGCCUGUUGAUGUUGAACAUCAGGGGCAUGGUAGUUGUUGACAAAUGAUGCACGUCAAGUAUUUGUCUUGUCCUAGCUACGCCUACAUGUAUGUUCGAGUGUGGAACGUCGUCAGCUGUGAUGUCAUUGGGUCGGCAGUGUAACCAAAAGACUUUGGUAAAGUUGUUACAUUGACUGCGUGAAGCAACUCAGUCUUGUGUUGGCUAUUCUUCAUCCCACGUUAUGGUGGAUACUCAUGCCCACGUUAUGGCGGUGCAUUAGUGCUGUAGACGCACACUAACAUUAACUUUUCAUUCAAGUGUAUGACUUGUAUUUCUCAUGGUAUGAUGAGACAAUCGUAUCCAAGCCUGCGUUAUGGUGGGACAGUAAUGAUAUAACUGCACGUGAACUUCUUUCAAGUGUUUGACUUGUACUAGUAUAUCUGUUUAGAAACAUUUAUUUGAUGUAUUUAUUGUAUGUUUGGUACAUGUGAAUGCUUCAGCGAAUAGUGUUUGCAUGUGUGGAUUGUUUGCACAUGUAUUUAGGUUGGUGAGUAGUUGUUGGGAGCAUUGACAUUGAUUACAUGAAGUAGUUUUGUUCAUAAUAAACUUUAUUUAUUUUGUUUACAAUUUCGUCUUUUCGUUCGGGGUCUAUACCAGUGCUACCCUUGGUCACUAUCUGUUGCAGAAACAUACUUACCUGUGUGGCACAGCUCGUACCAACAGGAAGGGCUACCCCGCCGUUCAUCUCCCUUCAGGUAAGGCAGCAAAUCGUCUGCAGAGAGGGACCAUCGACUGGCGAGCUUGUGGGGACUUCGUUGCAACCAUGUGCAAAGAUAACAAGCCUCUUUUCUACCUCAGCACGGCACACUCUCCCGAGGAAGAUGGUUUGACCACCAAAAGGAGGAAGAAGGAUGUGAAGGAUUAUGGAAAGUAUAUGGGAGGGGUUGAUAGGUUAGACCAAAACACUCGCCAAAAUAAGGGCAAAAAACCCAUGAGGUGGUAUAGGCGUGUUGAGGUGAAGUUGAGAGAGAUAGCCAUUUACAAUGCCUAUGUCAUUGAAGGUACCUUCAUCAACCACAUGCCAGGUGGGAAUAGAAAGCGAGAUAUGCUGGCCUUCAAGCUUGGACUGCUGCAUCAACUCAUUCGAGGGUACCGUCAGGACAGGAGGCUAGGUCGUUCCAGAUGAGUCAUCGUUGGAGCAGGAACGCUUGGAUGGGAACGGUCACUGGCCAGUGCCGUCAGGUAGUCUUGACACCCGGUGCUUGGUUUGUGUGAAGAUGCACAAUGUGUAUCGUGUGCAGCACCCAGGUACAAAGUAUGCUGACAAUCCAUUUAAACGAACGAAAUCAUCCUUUAAAUAUGCUCAAAAUGCAAUGUUCCAUUGUGUGUAAAUUCAACAAAGUCAUGCUUCAUGUACUACCACACUAAAGUGCAGUACUGGCGUUGAUGUUUACAUACUGAUGAAAUGUUUCACACCUGUUGUUCAUGAAAGUUUCUAUUUGCCAUUGCUUAUGAUUGUGGGUGUACAUAUUCAUAUAUUUGAACCUUGAGCGCCUGACAGGCGAUUGUAUUCUCCACAGGGAGUGUUCUGUACUCAUUGACCAGGGGUAAUAUAUGAGCGCUUUGAGCGUGGAUAAAUGCGCAAAAUAAACGGACUAUUAUUAGUAUUACUAUUAUAUAUAUAUAUAUUGAUUACUAUUUAUUCAUAUUUAUUGAACAUUUACACUUAUGUUUCUGUUAUAAAUUAUUUUUGUACAGUAGAUUUCUUUGUGUGUAUAUAUAUUUAUUGUCUUCCUUUCCAAACUUCUCUCUCCUUUCUUUUCUACAGGCAAAAAGUGAGUAUUGAGGUGGCAUGUAACUUUCAAUGUAGUUUUAGCUAACCUGAUGUCACAUUGUUAGAAGCGAAAAAAUCAGCUGAGUGUUAACAUGUUUUUUCUUGUCAUGCCAGGUAAAAACGGCAUCAUCAAAGCGAGAUAAUCACACCUGCCAAUCAAGCUUCAGCUACCUGUGCCAUCUAAUGAUGGAAAACAUUUUAUUUGCACUGUCAAUGUAUGAUAUUUGACAAUAAAGUAAUUUUGCCCUUUUGUCAACUUUUGUCUUUUUUUCACUUGGUCCUGCUGACCAUGGCAAAUGAAAUGAUCUUUCAGACGAGUUGCUGCUGCAUAAUAUUGCCUCUUUAUUAUUCUAGAUUCCAAUAUAAUAUUCCUUUUGUAUGAAAAGCAUUAAUAUUUCAACUAUUCAACUUGAAACACUCAGAAAAUACCCUGUGAUAUAAUUUCAGGUGAAGAAAAGGGUCAUUUCAAAAGGGAGGUAAUCCAGUCACCACACCUGCCAAUCAAGCUUCUUUUUUUUUUUAUACCUGUGAUGGCAAAAUAUAUAAAGCCUAUGUACUUUGCAUAUUAUAUGAUAAUACAAUAAUAUAUUUCAACCUAAAGUGAUUUUUGUGCAUUUUUACUUUCCUGGACUAACGAGUUUACCUGAGCUAACGAGUAUACCUCUUGUAGAUGCAGCAACACCCCUUAAAAAUGUUGUGUUGAUGUUCCAUUGUAAAAUAUAAUGUCAACACGCAAACAACUUUUAUAUGACAUACAAAUAUAUUUCAUUAUUUCAGCGAAGCAAUUCUGCACCUGGAUGAUUCUCUCACCUGUACAACACCUGGAUGACCUGCUUUUCUACGGAUUGCCAAAGAUCAUAAGACACUAUUUAUUGCCUGUUAUCGCAUUUUUGGGACUAAUAUAUAUAUAUAUAUUUAUUUCUUCA
RNAcentral lists this long non-coding RNA (4328 nucleotides) under Haliotis rubra (blacklip abalone). RNAcentral's name for it is "uncharacterized LOC124290405, transcript variant X2". The record is from RNAcentral. Lineage: Eukaryota; Metazoa; Mollusca; Gastropoda; Lepetellida; Haliotidae.